AAAAACAUCUUUUCUUGUUAGUUUCUGAAGUAUGGCCUGCCCGCUGACGUAUUUUGAGUUGAAGGGCCGCGGUAUUUUGACCGUGCAAAGGUAGCAUAGUCAUUAGUUCUUUAAUUGUGAUCUGGUAUGAAUGGCUUGACGAGACAUGGGCUGUCUUGGUUAUGAAUAUAUUGUUGAAUUUGGAGUUUAAGUUAAAAUUCUUAGAUGUUUUUAUGGGACGAGAAGACCCUAUAGAGUUUGACAUUUGAUUGCGUAUUUCUUGUUGUUUGUUUUGAAUUUUUGCGUAUCUUUUGUUUUGUUGGGGUGAUGGGAGGAAUUUAUUUAACUCCUCUUUUAUGUGGUAUACUGAUUUGUAUUUGUUUUGAUCC
RNAcentral lists this ribosomal RNA (368 nucleotides) under Odontotermes anamallensis. Its description in RNAcentral is "partial large subunit ribosomal RNA". The record is from RNAcentral. Lineage: Eukaryota; Metazoa; Arthropoda; Insecta; Blattodea; Termitidae.